Sycon ciliatum is the source of this 1144-nucleotide long non-coding RNA. RefSeq lists it as uncharacterized. The record is from RefSeq and is a predicted model, not a curated record. The transcript is spliced from 3 exons. NCBI's taxonomy places the organism in Eukaryota, Metazoa, Porifera, Calcarea, Leucosolenida, Sycettidae.
GCGAUAAAGAGUCCUCUUGCCAAUGUUAUUUGUAAGGGCACAUUCAGACUACUGUCGACUGAUUAUUAUUAUUUACUACACAGCAGAGAUGAUCCCAGUCGGCGGCAGUGCAUCACACCUGAAAGACGAUUGAUCGCAGGCUGAUUUCUCGUCCACAUUUGAGCGGCAAGGAUCAAGGAGGGGAUUGCAACAAUUAUUUUGCGGUGCUGCCUGCGAAGGGACAGCGGAGUCCAAACCACGCUGAGGCGGCCGGUCGUAUCGUGGAUGCAGCGAACGUUUGCAUGCAGACGGUUACUCGGCCCACCGUCAUUCAGACUUGACCGACGACCGUCCCACACACAUCGCCGAGUGGCUGUGCUCCGUAACGCCAUUACUGCAUCAGUGCCGUCACUCCGGGUCGGCUCCAGUAGCCACUGACCAUCGACAGGGCACACCGGCGGCGGCGAUCACUCGAUCGACGACUCCAGUCCAGUCCACACGUGACCCGAGUUGACUGUUGCGCUCGCAGCCACAGCUACUAGUCGACGAUGGCAAGCUUAAACCCGCGUGUGGUGGCUGGUGGUACAGUGCCUGCUGGAGCAACGAAUGCCCAGCAGUGUGUCAGACCAGCUCAUAAUCACUGGAACAAAAUCAGAUGUCCGCACACUGGUGGAGAUGAGGAAUACUGCGAGGACCAGUUUUGCGUAGCAAGGAACAUCAAUGGGCGUAUCUCAUUCGGCUGCAGGGGCUUUGUUUCUUUUUUCGGAGAGAGUAAACACUGUGGUUAUGCCUUUCGUCACCUCAGGGACAACCACCCAGUCAUCUUCUGUUGUUGUACAAGAGGCUGUGCAGAUCAUCACUUUGCUUUGCUCUCUGGCAAGCCUUUUCCUUCGGGCCUCUUGCCGUUCCAGGAUCCGUCCGAUCGGUACUUUUUUAACCCGGAAAUUACGUGGCCCGUUCCUCCCAAUCCAACAACAACAACACCGCUGCCAACAACAACACCACUCCCAACAACAACAUCACUGCCAACAACAACACCACUCCCAACAACACCACCACUGCCAACAACAACACCACUGCCAACAACAACACCACUCCCAACAACACCACUCCCAACAACAACACCACUCCCAACAACAACACCACUGCCAACAACAACACCACU